AUGAAGGUAAAGGGAGAGACUGCUUAAAUGCAGCGCCGAAGGAGCAAACAGAAAUGUGAAUCUCUCAGGCAAAGAGACUUUUAUUUGACG
Molecule: non-coding RNA, 90 nt
Filed under: Bacillus sp. (in: firmicutes)
Lineage: Bacteria; Bacillati; Bacillota; Bacilli; Caryophanales; Bacillaceae
Also listed under: 1 other name
Description: Bacillus sp. Glycine sequence
Rfam family: Glycine riboswitch aptamer
About the family: This family represents the bacterial glycine riboswitch. Glycine riboswitches usually consist of two metabolite-binding aptamers domains with similar structures in tandem.
Source: RNAcentral